Molecule: unclassified non-coding RNA, 3250 nt
Filed under: Daphnia pulex (common water flea)
Lineage: Eukaryota; Metazoa; Arthropoda; Branchiopoda; Diplostraca; Daphniidae
Description: n-acetylglucosamine-6-phosphate deacetylase-like, transcript variant X2
Source: RNAcentral
CUGUCCUACACUCUAUAUUUGGUUUGCCGUUCAAAAACGGAAAUAUAAAGAGACUGGUGGAAAAACCGAACCAAGAACAAAAACAAAUCCAGAAUCCAGAAUUAGAAAUUUGUGUUGAGAGACAGUCAUCUGACAGCCAACAGAAUGGGGAAUGAAAUAAUCCAGUUCCACAAUUGCUUCAUUUUGCGAGAUGGGAAAAUCAUUAAAGAGGACCUGUGGACCUGUGAUGGCAAAAUUGUCAAUCCAGAACCCAUUUUCUUUGACCAAAAGGACUACGCUGACAUAAAAAUUGAUUGUGAAGGGCUUACGAUUGCUCCAGGAUUCAUAGAUGUACAAGUAAAUGGUGGCUUUGGUGUGGAUUUUUCUCACGAUAGUGAAACCAUUGAGGAAGGCUUGAAAGUGGUAGCUAAAGGACUUUUGGCUUAUGGUACUACUUCAUUUUGUCCUACACUGGUUACCUCAUCACCUAAAUAUUAUCACCAGGUUGUAGAAAAAAUUAAGAAAACUCCAGGAGGUUCUGACGGAGCAGAAAUCCUUGGCAUACAUGUUGAGGGACCUUUUAUCAAUAAUGAUAAAAAGGGUGCACAUGACUUGCAAUUUAUUCACAAGUUCACCAAUGGAGCCAGUUCUAUUGAAGAAGUAUAUGGAAAGCACUGGAGGAAUAUCUCAAUGAUCACUCUAGCUCCUGAGCUGGAAAAUUCAACAGAAGUUAUUAAAUACUUAACCAGUAAUGGUGUGACAGUUUCGCUGGGCCAUUCAAUGGGUAGCCUUAUUCAGGGAGAAGAAGCAGUAAGAAAUGGUGCCUCCUUUAUCACUCAUCUUUUUAACGCCAUGUUGCCUUUCCAUCACCGAGAUCCUGGGCUGAUCGGGUUGCUAGCCUCUUCGAAAAUUCCACCCGGAAAAACUGUUUAUUACGGAAUUAUCGCUGAUGGAAUCCACACUCAUCCAGCAGCGCUUCGCAUUGCCUACAGAACUCAUCCUAAAGGACUCGUUUUAGUAACCGAUGCGAUGUCGGCGCUCGGCUUGCAACCUGGACAAUACAAACUCGGUUACCAGGACGUUGAUGUCAAGGAAAACUGUGCCGUGUUGGCUGGGACCACCACAUUGUGUGGAGCGAUAGCCUCGAUGGAUAAAUGCGUCCGUCACUUGAAGCGCGCUACAGAGUGCUCUACUGUUGAAGCUCUGGAAGCAGCUACUUUGCAUCCAGCUUGCGCCUUAGGCAUUAACGAUCGCAAAGGGUCUCUUCUCUUUGGGCGCGAUGCCGAUUUUGUCAUUCUCGAUCACGACCUCAAUGUCGUUUCCACCUGGAUUGCCUCACAGAAAGUUUAUCAAAAUCCUGCCGCUGUGGAACUGACUUCUCGGAGAAUAACCAAGCAAUAGGUUUAAUUACUUUAGUCUUAUUUUUGGGCUAGUUGGGAUUUUGGAGAGGUAUGCAGUUCAGUGUUAUUGCAAGCCACCAAAUUGAGAGAUGUCAAGCAGUUGACAAGACUUUUCCCAUAAUUUUUUCUGGGUGUCGCGAUUGCGAACCAGUUUUAUCGGCUCGACUGCUUUGGAAUUUUCAAAAUAAUUCCCACUCAAGUCUUCCACUUGCGGCGAUAAAGCAGCGUGAACCACCCGUUGAGCGCCCUGUUCUUCAGUCUACAUAAAAUACAGUUAAAGAAUUUCGUUACUGAAAAUUCGGAUGCAACGUGGGAAAUCAGAUCACGCGGAAAAUCAGAAAGAUUCCGCUAACGACUUUACGGUGGACCAUCCUAUCCCGCGAUUUCCACCUGUGACGACGACGUAUUCAUUUUCUCUGUUUAUAGGAUCUCACAUUUCAGAAAUCAAACUACAGCUGCCGAGGAUUAGCAUUUUUAGAAAUAUGUAGAAAUCCAGAAAAAUCUUUUUUAUGAAAUUCAUUUUCAAAAAGAAUCAGAUCUAGCUGUAGAAAAAAAAAACCGGCGGUAAGACUGGGAUAAAAUUUAAAUAUUGCUAAUAAUUCAACGUACGGAGACAGACCUAGUGUUUCAAGAGAUGAAUGCUGGAAUCAAAUGUCCAAUAUAUUCUGCUCAGUUACUAUCACUGGUAAGCUCCGAGUGCUGUUCGCUUGGUUAAAUGUUUUCUCGGAAGCUAUUUCAAAUCUAACCCCUAGGCCGAAAAUGAAAAAUGACCAGAGCAAACGAGAAGGUUGCCUUCCUUAAAUGAGAUUAUGAGAAGGGCUUUUCUUCUUUAUCGUUUGUCUAAGAAAUAUGAAACGGCACAAACUCCAGAUGUUCUCGCUUCUUUCUACCAGAAAGGACAACUAACGAUAUUAUUUUGAUAGUGUUGCUAUUUCAUAAACCUAAUUAUCAAGUUUCACUGAGCUGCUUGCGGAGCUGUCAAUUUGGAUUAACGAAAUUUGAUUUAAGCAUUUUUGCGUUUUUAUUGGUGACGCUUUUCUUCCUAUAAAACCAGUAAAUAUAUGAAAUAUCUUUGUAUAUUCUCGUUCCCGUUUUGUUUUCCUUUUUUUUUACUAACCUGAAAUCUAAAGUUUUGUUUCCAUUCUCUGGCAACAGUGUUUUCAUGUUUAUGUUUUUACAUAGUUUCGAGUUUUGACUUUGAAAAUUAGUAGAAUUUCAAUUUGUUCUCUUAUAACCUGCUUAUAACAGCGUAAAUCGACGUGGUUAUGGUUACCAUGAAAAUGACCUGUUUUUAAUAUUUACCCAUCAGUGAAGUUGCAACAUUAUGUAGGUAAGAUGCACACAUUUUAUAAUCAAUUUCCAUUUUCCGCCAUCCCUAGACAUUUUGUUUUUAAGUUUAUGCAAGUUCUUAAGCCUUUAGUUGAACCGAACAGGCCAUUUAGACCGAUCUGAUUAGACAACUACUCAAAAUGUAUGAACAUGUUCUGUAGUUAUAAUAUUAUAUACCUCUGUGGUCAUUGAAUUGGAAAGCUUUGCAAAUAGAUACAUGACUCAGACAUUCAGCCGAUUCAGGCCAGCAACACUCAGCCCAAUGGCCUCAAAGACCUUUAUCAAGACCUUGAGUCAUUAAUCAAACCGUAUGUUUUAAAAAUGUUUUAUCUUUUUUCAGCAUGAAUUACAUCAUUCAGCUAUUUAAUAAGAUAUCUUAAGCAUUUGGCAUGAAGCUUCAUAAUUUUAAAUUAUUGAUGUGCAGUGUAAAUAUUGUAGGUACUGAAGAACCGAUAAAAUUUUUUCUGUUUAUUGAUUAUCCCAGAUACAGUAUACUGAAUUAUAACCAAUUAAAAUUGGAAAAACAGGGAAAACAGAAUGGA